GAUGAACGCUGGCGGCGUGCCUAAUACAUGCAAGUCGAGCGAACAGAUAAGGAGCUUGCUCCUUUGACGUUAGCGGCGGACGGGUGAGUAACACGUGGGUAACCUACCUAUAAGACUGGGAUAACUUCGGGAAACCGGAGCUAAUACCGGAUAACAUUUGGAGCCGCAUGGUUCUAAAGUGAAAGAUGGUUUUGCUAUCACUUAUAGAUGGACCCGCGCCGUAUUAGCUAGUUGGUAAGGUAACGGCUUACCAAGGCAACGAUACGUAGCCGACCUGAGAGGGUGAUCGGCCACCCUGGAACUGAGACACGGUCCAGACUCCUACGGGAGGCAGCAGUAGGGAAUCUUCCGCAAUGGGCGAAAGCCUGACGGAGCAACGCCGCGUGAGUGAUGAAGGGUUUCGGCUCGUAAAACUCUGUUAUUAGGGAAGAACAAACGUGUAAGUAACUGUGCACGUCUUGACGGUACCUAAUCAGAAAGCCACGGCUAACUACGUG
Molecule: ribosomal RNA, 497 nt
Filed under: uncultured bacterium
Lineage: Bacteria
Description: partial 16S ribosomal RNA
Rfam family: Bacterial small subunit ribosomal RNA
Source: RNAcentral